GAGACCCCUGCUAUGGGGCUGCCCCCCUGCUAUGGGGCCGACCCCACUGCUAUGGGGCUGACCCCAUCGCUAUGGGGCUGGGGGGUCUUACUAUGGGGCUGUCCCCAUUGCUAUGGGGCUGGGGGUCCCGCUAUGGGGCUGGAGACCCCUGCUAUGGGGCUGCCCCCCCGCUAUGGGGCCGACCCCACUGCUAUGGGGCUGACCCCAUUGCUAUGGGGCUGGAGCUCCCCCCCUGCUAUAGGGCCAGCUCUGGGGCCGCCCCCCAAGCUGUGGGGCCAGCCCCAUAGCCUCUCAGGGGGGCUCAGCCCCCCGGCGGGGGAUGCACCCCUCCAUCUCCAGCGCCUCCGGCCACCCCUCGUACUUGUUGGCCCCGCGGCUGUUCUUCACGUGCUGCAUUUUUGGGCCGAAAAACGUCAUUGUGGGCUCCGUCGCCCCCCCCCCCAAACCCCCAAAAAGGCCCCCCAAAAAAAGGCCCCCACCUGCUCGAAGGGGCUCCUCUCGCGGACCCCCUUGGCCCCCACGAAGACCCAGCUGUCGCGGAACCCCAAAUCCCCCACGGCCCCGCUGCCCAGCUCGGCCAGCAGCCGCCGCGACUCCUCCGUCAGCCUGGUAAUUAGCGGCCCCCGUUAAUUAGCGGGGCCCCCCCUAAUUAAUGAGAGCCCCCUUAAUUAGGGGAGAGCCCCCCCCCCUUACUUGGUGGCGGGGUCGUCGAAGGAGGCCACCAGCACCAGGGUCCCCUCGUGGAGCGGGCGGAGGAAUUUGGGGAGCUCCGAGGGGUCUUUGGGGAGAAAAAAGGGGAUUUUGGUGAAAUUGAGGGGGAGGGGGGGGAUUCUGUGGGGGUGGGGGGGUGGGGGGUGGGGGGAAGAAUUGGGGAAUUGUGGAGGGGUUGGGGGCAAAAGGUAGGGGGUGGGAAGGGAAAAUUAGGGGGUCGGAGAGCAAAAUGGGGGUUUUAGGGAUAAAAAAUGGAGUUUUGGGAAAAAUGAGGGUUUGGGGGAAAAAUGAGGGGUUUGAAGCAAAAAUUGGGUGUUUGGGGGAAAAAAAUGGGGAUUCAGAACCCAAAAACUGGGGGAUUGGAGAGCAAAAUGGGGGGGUUGAGGCAAAAACUGGGUGUUUGGGGGAAAAAAUUAGGGCCUUUUGCCCCAAAAUCCCCCUCUUUUGCCCCAAAAUCCCGCCCUUUGUACCCCAGCCCUCCCCCCAUACCCUCGGAUGUCCCAAAAUCCCCCAAAUUCACCCCAAAACCCGGUGCCCCCCCCUCACCUCCUGCCCACCUGUCGAAGGCCUGGGCGGCGAUCAGCUCCCCGCUGACACCUGGGGGGGCAAUUAAUGGGGGGGGGGCAAUUAAUGGGGGGGGCAAUUACCCCCCCCUAGGGCUAAUUACCCCCCCCCCAGACCCCCUCCCAAGAGCAAUAACUGCCCCCCUAGAUACUAAUUACCCCCCUCUGGAUCCUAAUUAUCCCUCCCAUCAUUAAUUACCCUAAUUACCCCCCCAGGGCUAAUUAACCCCCCCAAAACCCCUCCCAA
This 1521-nucleotide long non-coding RNA is filed under the name Anas platyrhynchos platyrhynchos (common mallard). RNAcentral describes it as "lncRNA (ENSAPLG00000028816.1)". The record is from RNAcentral. Lineage: Eukaryota; Metazoa; Chordata; Aves; Anseriformes; Anatidae.